This is a long non-coding RNA of Octopus sinensis (East Asian common octopus), 3834 nucleotides long. RefSeq lists it as uncharacterized. Lineage: Eukaryota; Metazoa; Mollusca; Cephalopoda; Octopoda; Octopodidae. The record is from RefSeq and is a predicted model, not a curated record. The transcript has 3 exons.
CAGACUUAAAUUUGGAUUGUGGAGGACAAAAUCUAAGAUUCACCUAAGACUUACAAUUUGAAGAAUCAGAUUUAGGUGAUGCAAAUUUAUCUGCUAAACAAAACAUGCUCCAAAUGUUCUGCAAUAAUCAUUCUACCACUGUUUGAAUCAAAAUGUCGUGACCACACGGUAUUAAAGUAUAAAUUUAUACUUUUAUUUUCUAAUAUGUAAAACACAUUAUAACAAUAUAUAUUAUAUAUAACCAUCCAUAGGACAAUAAUCACAAUAUCCACUUAUAUAUAUAUUGACCUUCACCAAUAGCGUAUUACAUUAAGGUCAAGGUCAUAUAGCAGGCGAAGGUCAUAAACAUCAAAGCAAUUCCGUGGAAGAAAGCACCACUGGACAAUACAUAUCAGCAGGAUGGAGGGUCAUCGACGUCCUAAGAUCACGUGGUAUGUUGACAAUGAUCUGGAGACUGAAGAGCAUUAUAGAAGAGAUACAACAACUCCCUAAAGAAAUACCUCGAUACCUGACACAUUAAUCUCUCCGGUGGUCUGUCUGUGCCACUGACUAUGAAGUCUGGCGCCUCACUGUCCUCCAGAUAAAAGCCGCCUUUCUAGACAUGCGCAGAAAAGAGAAUAAGGCAGGAAAAACCAUUCAUAAUCUUGCCGCUAGAGUGGAGCCACUAUGGCCGUAGUUGUUUGUCCCGAAUAGGACGCGUUGGACAUCAACAGCCCUGCAACAGACGUGGUCAUACCUCUUUGUAAAUCUUUGCUUGUCAAGCCAGACCAAGAGAAAGGAGGUAGUUGUUAAAUCAUUAAGUAAUUCUCAGUCAUAAAUAAUCUAGGAUUCCGAAUUAGCUUAAAUUAUUUACAAGUCAUACGAUAUUCUUUCUCGUCGUUCUGCUCCCACAUUCUGCGUUAAAAUACAGGUGAGUUGAACUUUGGUUUCAAACCUUUAGUGCUCAUAAAGGACAGCAGGUACGUACUGGAAUACUUUUAAAUCGCUAAGCAAUCCACCCAAAAUUACUAAUACUCAACCCAAGAUUAGAGGCAUUAAAUUUUUAGAAUUGAAAUUUUGUGAUAUGUUCCUGCAACCAAUGUAUAAAGUGUUAAUUACAAAUCUGUGUCCUAGAAACAUAAUGAAACAAUUUUAAUUAAAACGGAUAAUUAAGAAAUUGUCUAAAUCAUACAAUUCCUGUGAGUUCAGUAAGAUAAGAAAAUAAAUUAUUUUAAAAACGUUAUUGUUUUUUCGUCGCGACUUAUCCCACUGAAUGCAUUUUGCUUGAAACGAAACGUGAUUAAGUUGAAUAAUUAUAUUCAGCUACGUGUGAAAUAUGUAGGAUCUCUUUCUAGUAUUAUAUAUAUAUAUAUAUAUAUAACACUUGACAGAGGUUACGUAUGUAUUAAAAAGAGGAUUUCGUUACAUGUUAUCAUAAAUCUCGUAGGCUCAUAGAACGAACAUCUCAUUAGAUGUCUAGUGAGGAGAAACAUAUAAAACAAAUUUAAGAUGGCUGCUAGGUGUUAGGCGUCUAUUAAUCUUCACAGAUCAUAUGGCUUUACUGGUGUGAAGGUGAAAUCAUGUCUUUCAUGAUUCUUAGGCCCACUGGAAGAGGAUGCCCGUAGGUAGCUGUCGCCGCUAUAUCUGCAAGCUGCGGUAUGGUUUGUAUAGCUACAUCAUUUCAUUGAGGCUAUUAAAUACAGGUUGGAGUAUGGUCGCCUGUUAGUAGCUCGGUAUGAAAUCCGUAGAGAUCUAACACAUAGGUGGCAAUAGCUAUCCCGUGGUAAUAAUCAUAUAUGGUUGCCCUGAAUUAAAAUCAGGUGGUUAAAAGUUAAAAUAAUUAAGUCUGGAUGAUCAGUAGCAUUGGUGGGGUUGUAGUCUUUGCGGACCAAGACGAUUAAAUAUUGUGCCCUCUCGUUUAGAAGUGCAAGGCCUAAAUUGUUUUAUUUGGAUUGGCGUCUGCCAGUGGCUUAAUUUCAUUACCAAAGUGUACUUCUGGGGGUAAGAUAAUAUCAUUCAGUUUUCUUGUCGAUGGAAACUGCACGCUAGCAUAGUGUCUCGGUGUGGCAGAGUUGGCAACUGCGAGAUGCAGACGAGAAAGUCGAAAAGGACAAUUAAAUAUAAACCAUUUGAUGUUGGAGAAGUCAAUCUAAUGAUCGGGGAGCCUCUAGAUGAAACAGAAAAGGAUGGAGGAGGAGUUGCCAUUAUCUGAAGGAGUGUGGAUGAUGUAUAUAACUUUUCCUGAAGUCGUUCCCUCUCAUGCUUGUGUAGUGUCGGGUAAUGCCAUCAGAUGUUUUCCGGAUGCCUGUUUAGCCACAUCACUUAAGAGGCACCUGGUAGUAUUACGAAAGUUACAAUGUGGAUUGGAUGAGUGGUGUGUUUGCGUCUAGUAUGGCGAGCAAUGCCAUAAUUACGGUUUCUAAGGAAACAUUUUUAAUAAGUGUCAGAAAUUUUCUAGCUAUGUUUGUGGAAGUGAAAUGGAAGAUUGCUGCAACAAUCUUAAUUCUCUGUUGAUUUCGCUCCGACAACAACACAACGACCGACCAUGAGUAGCAUCAAAUGCAAUGGAACUGAGUCGCUAAAUAUUCCAUACCGCCACUGCCAGAUAGAGCUCUGACGCCGACAGCUGUAGACCCGCAUCUUGUCCAAGCUGUUUAAAUUAAAAAUAAAGAAUUGAUAUCAGGUUCACACUGAUAACAGCGCGUAGGAUAAGUUGGCCAACGGAGGCCUAAUAGCUCGCAGCCAUCUUGAAAUUGUCUCCUAUCUAUUUCCUGCUUGUUUGAUGCCUGACUAGAUAAGUUCGUUCGAAGAGCGUACGAAAGUUUAAGCUUCAUGGAGUCAACCUUUCCCACCGUUUGACAGGUGGUGUUGCCCGGUUUACUUUGCUGUAACUAUCAACAAAAACGAUCAACAGAUUAAGUGUCAGGCUUAAAAUAUAUAUCUAUUUUACUGGGGUCGACUAAAAGGCUUCAAGGCGGUGCCCCAAUGCAGCCGAAGUCUAUUGACAAGCAAAUAAAAGAUUUUUUUAAAUUGGGACUUAUUCAAAAAUCUAUAUAAUUUCAGAUAGACACACACGCACAUACAUACAUACAUACACACACAUACACAGACAUUUUUCAUGCUUACUGAAGGAACAAAGUACAACAUGGAGUGGUUUGUGUAAUUGAGUUUGAAGAUUCACACUACACACAUGUACCUCUGUGUCACUCUCGAGGGUGUUUUUGCUGUUGCCCAUGCUUCAAACAUCCUUACGAAAUACGAACGAUCAUAUGCGUAGUAAUGGAACCGUAUAUCUAAUAACAAUAAUUUUACAUAUGCACAUAUAGUUAUUUGAAUAAUGUCGGUAAAAGUUAAUCAAGCAAAUGAUGCUAAUUAUAUUGUACAUUUCUAAUUUUAAUAGCAACAAUUACUGCAUACAUUUAUACAAAAUCAUUUCCAGGACAACUCUUUUUACUUAUGGAAAAGGCAGAUAUGACGACCAGGCAACAAAUAGUGCGUAAAAUAGCAAGUAAUGGUUUUGCUGUGGUAGGUAACAUAUAUAACGAUUAUUACAAAAAACAAGCACAAAUUAAAAGUUGAGCGUUUACUUGAAUAGUAAAACAAAAUGCAAAAUCAAUGCACCAGAACAGUUCAUAUCUCAUCGCAUAUAGAUAUUGGUAAGUGGAAGCCAAAUGAUUAUUUGAAGCAAAGAUUAUAUUUAACCAACACAAGUUUACGCUUCUAGCAUUCAUAAAUUAUGAUAAGUGUUACUCCUAAAUCAUUGAUUUAUUUGUGAAUGCGCCAUUUUCUUCCAAUCUUGCAGCCAUUCUGAGUACUUGCAUCUUUUUAAAUACCAAACAUAUAUACAUAAAUAAC